UAGCUCAGUUGGUAGAGUGCCUGCCUCGCAUGCACAAGACCCUGGGUUCAAUUCCCAG
This 58-nucleotide transfer RNA is filed under the name Ictidomys tridecemlineatus (thirteen-lined ground squirrel). Its description in RNAcentral is "Spermophilus tridecemlineatus (thirteen-lined ground squirrel) tRNA". It matches the Rfam family "tRNA", at positions 8 to 63 of the family's 71-position model. From Rfam's summary of the family: Transfer RNA (tRNA) molecules are approximately 80 nucleotides in length. Their secondary structure includes four short double-helical elements and three loops (D, anti-codon, and T loops). Lineage: Eukaryota; Metazoa; Chordata; Mammalia; Rodentia; Sciuridae. The record is from Rfam by way of RNAcentral.